UACGUAGGGUGCGAGCGUUGUCCGGAAUUAUUGGGCGUAAAGAGCUUGUAGGCGGUUUGUCGCGUCUGCUGUGAAAAUCCGGGGCCCAACCCCGGACUUGCAGUGGGUACGGGCAGACUAGAGUGUGGUAGGGGAGACUGGAAUUCCUGGUGUAGCGGUGAAAUGCGCAGAUAUCAGGAGGAACACCGAUGGCGAAGGCAGGUCUCUGGGCCACUACUGACGCUGAGAAGCGAAAGCAUGGGGAGCGAACAGG
This 253-nucleotide ribosomal RNA is filed under the name uncultured bacterium. RNAcentral describes it as "partial 16S ribosomal RNA". It matches the Rfam family "Bacterial small subunit ribosomal RNA", at positions 524 to 776 of the family's 1533-position model. The record is from RNAcentral.